UACAGAGGGUGCGAGCGUUAAUCGGAAUUACUGGGCGUAAAGCGCGCGUAGGCGGUUAUGUAAGUUGGAUGUGAAAUCCCUGGGCUUAACCUGGGCACUGCAUUCAAAACUGCAUAGCUAGAGUAUGGGAGAGGAAGGUAGAAUUCCAGGUGUAGCGGUGAAAUGCGUAGAGAUCUGGAGGAAUACCGAUGGCGAAGGCAGCCUUCUGGCCUAAUACUGACGCUGAGGUGAGAAAGCAUGGGGAGCAAACAGG
This 253-nucleotide ribosomal RNA is filed under the name uncultured bacterium. RNAcentral's name for it is "partial 16S ribosomal RNA". It matches the Rfam family "Bacterial small subunit ribosomal RNA", at positions 524 to 776 of the family's 1533-position model. The record is from RNAcentral.